GAGCCACUCACAUCCAGGUGUCUCUGGUUGAUGUCGUAGAUGAUGAGGAGGUGUCGGGGCAGGAGCUGCUCAAACAUGAAGACAGGCCAACGCUCCAACGCUUCAGGGAGCACCGUGUGGUUGGUAUAUGCACAGUGUCUCCGUCUCUCUGCCCGUGCUAUUUCCAACCACCAGCCAGCUCACCAUCAUUUACACUGUUGUUGUCAAAUAAACAUCUUUAACUUCA
Cheilinus undulatus (humphead wrasse) is the source of this 226-nucleotide long non-coding RNA. RefSeq lists it as uncharacterized. Lineage: Eukaryota; Metazoa; Chordata; Actinopteri; Labriformes; Labridae. The transcript has 2 exons. The record is from RefSeq and is a predicted model, not a curated record.